RNAcentral lists this ribosomal RNA (120 nucleotides) under uncultured bacterium. RNAcentral describes it as "partial 16S ribosomal RNA". It matches the Rfam family "Archaeal small subunit ribosomal RNA", at positions 747 to 866 of the family's 1478-position model. The record is from RNAcentral.
CUAGCCGUAAACGAUGCGGACUGGGUGUUGGGAUGGCUUUGAGCUGUUCCGGUGCCGAAGGGAAGCUGUUAAGUCCGCCGCCUGGGAAGUACGGUCGCAAGACUGAAACUUAAAGGAAUU